ACUAAUAGAAUAAGUAAAAUGUAGUAGAGUAUUAUGGUUAUAUUAUAUUAAUUGAUUUAUUUUAUUAAAAUAAUAAAAAGUAAAAUUUAGUUUUAGUAGAUAAUAAAAUUUAUUUAUUAUUGAGAUUGAAGCCAUUAAAAUUUAGGUAUAAACUAGGAUUAGAUACCCUAUUAUACUUUAUUUAAAAUAUUUAUGUUUGAGUAGUAAUUAGAUAUGUUCUUUAAACUUAAAGGAUUUGGCGGUAUUUUAGUCUUGUUAGAGGAACCUGUUCUUUAAAUGAUAAACCUCGAAGUAUCUUACUUUAUUAAGUUUUCAGUUUGUAUAUCGCCAUUAGUAGAUAGUUUUUAUGGGAGGUUAUUAAAAUAAUAAAUGUAUUAAUAUAUUAGGUCAAGGUGCAGCUAAUAAUAAAGAAAGUAAUGGGUUACAAUAAGUUAAGUUUAUACGGAUAUAAAUUGAAUAUUUUUAUGAAGGAGGAUUUAAUAGUAAUUUUUUUUUAAUAUGUAAAAUUGAUAUAAGCUCUAAAAUAUGUACACAUCGCC
This 539-nucleotide ribosomal RNA is filed under the name Glyphocrangon armata. RNAcentral's name for it is "partial 12S ribosomal RNA". The record is from RNAcentral. Lineage: Eukaryota; Metazoa; Arthropoda; Malacostraca; Decapoda; Glyphocrangonidae.